GAUGAACGCUAGCGAUAGGCUUAACACAUGCAAGUCGAGGGGCAGCAUUAUUUUAGCUUGCUAAGAUAGAUGGCGACCGGCGCGCGGGUGCGUAACGCGUAUGCAACCUGCCUGUAAUUAGGGAAUAACCCGGUGAAAGUCGGACUAAUACCCUAUAUUCUUCUUUUUCCGCAUGGAGAAGGACGGAAAGAUUUAUUGAUUACAGAUGGGCAUGCGUCCCAUUAGCUCGUUGGUAAGGUAACGGCUUACCAAGGCAACGAUGGGUAGGGGGACUGAGAGGUUGACCCCCCACACUGGUACUGAGACACGGACCAGACUCCUACGGGAGGCAGCAGUGAGGAAUAUUGGUCAAUGGGCGAGAGCCUGAACCAGCCAAGUCGCGUGAAGGACGACGGUUCUAUGGAUUGUAAACUUCUUUUGUAGAGGAAUAAUGGCAGCUACGUGUAGCUGAGAUGCAUGUACUCUACGAAUAAGUAUCGGCUAACUCCGUGCCAGCAGCCGCGGUAAUACGGAGGAUACGAGCGUUAUCCGGAAUUAUUGGGUUUAAAGGGUGCGUAGGUGGCGUAUUAAGUCAGUGGUGAAAAGCUGCAGCUCAACUGUAGUCUUGCCGUUGAAACUGAUAUGCUAGAGAGGAGACGAGGUAUGCGGAAUGUGUGGUGUAGCGGUGAAAUGCAUAGGAUAUCACACAGAACGCCGAUUGCGAAGGCAGCGUACCAGGCUCCGUCUGACACUGAAGCACGAAAGCGUGGGGAUCAAACAGGAUUAGAUACCCUGGUAGUCCACGCAGUAAACGAUGAAUACUAGAUUUUUGCGAUAUAGUGUAAGAGUCUAAGCGAAAGCGAUAAGUAUUCCACCUGGGGAGUACGCCGGCAACGGUGAAACUCAAAGGAAUUGACGGGGGCCCGCACAAGCGGAGGAACAUGUGGUUUAAAUUCGAUGAUACGCGAGGAACCUUACCCGGGGAUUGAAAUUUAGGAUCGCGGGCAGAUGAAGAGUUUUG
RNAcentral lists this ribosomal RNA (1000 nucleotides) under Porphyromonas endodontalis. RNAcentral describes it as "bacterial SSU rRNA". It matches the Rfam family "Bacterial small subunit ribosomal RNA", at positions 28 to 1013 of the family's 1533-position model. The record is from RNAcentral. Lineage: Bacteria; Pseudomonadati; Bacteroidota; Bacteroidia; Bacteroidales; Porphyromonadaceae.